CUUUGGAAACACCGCAGCCACCCGACUUCCCAUUUCGACCGACUAUUUUGACGACUCGUCACGCUUUGUGUUUUGGCAAGAACCAUUUUUGCUUCUUUCUGUCUCCUUCGUUGUCGCCAGACAUUCAGGUGACCGCGACAGCGCUCAUCAGUACCGGGAAGGCGGCGACGACGACGUCUGGCUGGCCGUCUUCCUGAAUGGCACACCGGGUGGAUUGGGCUGCUUGUGUAUCGCCUGUUUAGCAGCCAGCAGCCGCCCCACGCUCCAGUGUUCAGGCGUGGGAUCACAUGUUGACACAAAGGGGCAUUUCUCGACCACUGGGAGCACCCGAUCUCCAAAACAACAAACUGGACGAUGGAUAGCAAAAAAAACUUUUUUCAUGAAAUCAUUCAGAUUUUACAAUGUCCAGCCACAGUGAAAAUAAUGGAAUUACCAUUACUUAUUUCUAGGCUCCCCCAAAUCAAACAUAAGAUAUCCUUUAUUUGUCCCACACAAGAUACGAAACGAAGCAUUUUGUAUUUUUUUUUAUUAAGUACGCUUCAGAUGUCUUUCGCAUAUUUGGAAACCGUGCUUACGACCAACAACACAUUUUAUGUUCUGGUAUUUCAAGCCCAUUUCAAAUUAAAAUGUAAUUAAACUUACCCAUGGGUGAAAACGC
Hippocampus zosterae (dwarf seahorse) is the source of this 658-nucleotide long non-coding RNA. RefSeq lists it as uncharacterized. Lineage: Eukaryota; Metazoa; Chordata; Actinopteri; Syngnathiformes; Syngnathidae. The record is from RefSeq and is a predicted model, not a curated record. The transcript is spliced from 2 exons.